UGGGGAAUCUUCCGCAAUGGACGAAAGUCUGACGGAGCAACGCCGCGUGAGUGAUGACGGCCUUCGGGUUGUAAAGCUCUGUUAAUCGGGACGAAUGGUUCUUGUGCGAAUAGUGCAAGGAUUUGACGGUACCGGAAUAGAAAGCCACGGCUAACUACGUGCCAGCAGCCGCGGUAAUACGUAGGUGGCAAGCGUUGUCCGGAAUUAUUGGGCGUAAAGCGCGCGCAGGCGGAUUGGUCAGUCUGUCUUAAAAGUUCGGGGCUUAACCCCGUGAUGGGAUGGAAACUGCCAAUCUAGAGUAUCGGAGAGGAAAGUAGAAUUCCUAGUGUAGCGGUGAAAUGCGUAGAUAUUAGGAAGAACACCAGUGGCGACGGCGACUUUCUGGACGAAAACUGACGCUGAGGCGCGAAAGCCAGGGGAGCGAACGGG
This 429-nucleotide ribosomal RNA is filed under the name bacterium. RNAcentral describes it as "partial 16S ribosomal RNA". It matches the Rfam family "Bacterial small subunit ribosomal RNA", at positions 355 to 776 of the family's 1533-position model. The record is from RNAcentral.